Molecule: ribosomal RNA, 422 nt
Filed under: uncultured archaeon
Lineage: Archaea
Description: partial 16S ribosomal RNA
Rfam family: Archaeal small subunit ribosomal RNA
Source: RNAcentral
CUACGGGUGGCAGCAGGCGCGGAACCUUUACAAUGCACGCAAGUGUGAUAAGGGAACCCUCAGUGCUCAUGUAUUACAUGGGCUUUUGCCAAGCGUAAAUAGCUUGGCGAAUAAGUGGUGGGUAAGACUGGUGCCAGCCGCCGCGGUAACACCAGCGCCACGAGUGGCAACCACGUUUAUUGGGCCUAAAGCGUCCGUAGCCGGUUUGGUAAAUCUCUUGUGAAAUCGUCAGGCUUAACUUGACGGCGCGCUCGAGACACUGCCUUACUUGAGACCGGGAGGAGUCAGAGGUAUUCCUGAGGGAGCGGUAAAAUGUGAUAAUCUCAGGAGGAUCACCUAUGGCGAAGGCAUCUGACCAGAACGGAUCUGACGGUGAGGGACGAAGGCUAGGGGAGCGAUCCGGAUUAGAUACCCCAGUAGUC